AGAGUUUGAUCAUGUCUCUGAUUGAACGCUGGCGGCAGGCCUAACACAUGCAAGUCGAGCGGAUGAUGGGAGCUUGCUCCCGGAUUCAGCGGCGGACGGGUGAGUAAUGCCUAGGAAUCUGCCUGGUUGUGGGGGACAACGUUUCGAAAGGAACGCUAAUACCGCAUACGUCCUACGGGAGAAAGCAGGGGACCUUCGGGCCUUGCGCUAUCAGAUGAGCCUAUGUCGGAUUAGCUAGUUGGUGGGGUAAAGGCCUACCAAGGCGACGAUCCGUAACUGGUCUGAGAGGAUGAUCAGUCACACUGGAACUGAGACACGGUCCAGACUCCUACGGGAGGCAGCAGUGGGGAAUAUUGGACAAUGGGCGAAAGCCUGAUCCAGCCAUGCCGCGUGUGUGAAGAAGGUCUUCGGAUUGUAAAGCACUUUAAGUUGGGAGGAAGGGCAGUAAGUUAAUACCUUGCUGUUUUGACGUUACCAACAGAAUAGGCACCGGCUAACUUCGUGCCAGCAGCCGCGGUUAUACGAAGGGUGCAAGCGUUAAUCGGAAUUACUGGGCGUAAAGCGCG
Molecule: ribosomal RNA, 566 nt
Filed under: uncultured Gammaproteobacteria bacterium
Lineage: Bacteria; Pseudomonadati; Pseudomonadota; Gammaproteobacteria
Description: bacterial SSU rRNA
Rfam family: Bacterial small subunit ribosomal RNA
Source: RNAcentral